CUAUAGUGUUUCUUUAAUGUGAGGUAAAUUAGAGAUUAGUGCCACGAAUAAUAUACUAGAUUACCUACUUACAAGCAGAUGAGGAUGAUGAUGGGCUCUAGUUGCAGUCUGGCUCCACUGGUCUGGUGUAUAACAGGAUCUCUGGAGGCUGUUUGUAACUGUGGUCACACAAAUCAAUGUUCUGGGAGAACGAGAAGCAGCUCCAUUUUUUGGGGGCCCUUUACACAGCUCAAGGUCUGAGUCCCAGGGUCCACCUUCAUUUUCCACCAAUGAGUUUGUUCACAGGGGAUGGAGUGUGUAGGGAAUGUCCUGAUUUGUGUGUAAGGAAUGCAUUUUGUGAAUCUGUGUUUGUAUGUGUAAGGGCUGCAAGGUGUGUUUCUGUGUAUGUAAGGGAUGAAGUGUGUGAGUCUGUAAGGGGUGCAUUGAGUGUGUGUAAGGAAUGCAUUGUGUGUUUC
Pelobates cultripes (western spadefoot toad) is the source of this 455-nucleotide non-coding RNA. NCBI's taxonomy places the organism in Eukaryota, Metazoa, Chordata, Amphibia, Anura, Pelobatidae. The record is from the annotation of a GenBank genome assembly.